Molecule: ribosomal RNA, 747 nt
Filed under: uncultured Arthrobacter sp.
Lineage: Bacteria; Bacillati; Actinomycetota; Actinomycetes; Micrococcales; Micrococcaceae
Description: bacterial SSU rRNA
Rfam family: Bacterial small subunit ribosomal RNA
Source: RNAcentral
CGGAAGCUCCCGGCCGUCAUGGCGGCCGCGGUAAUUCGAUUGGAAUUACUCCUACGGGAGGCAGCAGUGGGGAAUAUUGCACAAUGGGCGCAAGCCUGAUGCAGCGACGCCGCGUGAGGGAUGAAGGCCUUCGGGUUGUAAACCUCUUUCAGUAGGGAAGAAGCUGGUCCUUCGGGGUUGGUGACGGUUCCUGCAGAAGAAGCGCCGGCUAACUACGUGCCAGCAGCCGCGGUAAUACGUAGGGCGCAAGCGUUAUCCGGAAUUAUUGGGCGUAAAGAGCUCGUAGGCGGGUUGUCGCGUCUGCCGGGAAAGUCCGGGGCUUAACUCCGGAUCUGGGGGGGGUACGGGCAGACUAGAGUGCAGUAGGGGAGACUGGAAUUCCUGGUGGAGCGGUGAAAUGCGCAGAUAUCAGGAGGAACACCGAUGGCGAAGGGAGGGCUCUGGGCUGGAACUGACGCUGAGGAGCGAAAGCAUGGGGAGGGAACAGGAUUAGAUACCCUGGGAGUCCAUGGCGUAAACGUUGGGCACUAGGGGGGGGGGACAUUUCAAGUUUUCCGGGCCGGAGCUAACGCAUUAAGUGGCCCGCCUGGGGAGACGGGCGGAAGGGUAAAACUCAAAGGAAUUGACGGGGGCCCGACAAGCGGGCGAGCAUGGGGAUUAAUUCGAUGCACGCGAAGAAUCUUACCAAGGCUUGCAUGAACCGGAAUGAUGCACAGAUGUGCAGCCACUUGGUGGCCGGCUUACAGG